AUGGCCUGGGUACACCUGCUCCUCAGUCUCCUCGCUCACUGCACAGGGUCCUGGGCCCAGUCUGUGCUGACUCAGCCACCCUCAGUGUCGGGGGCCCUGGGUCAGACAGUUACCAUCUCCUGCUCUGGAAGCACAACUAGCUUUGAUAUUAUUGGUGUGAAGUGGUAUAAGCAGCUUCCGGGAAAUCCCCCUAAACUUCUCAUAUAUGGUAAUAACAAGAGACCCUCAGGUAUUCCUGACCGAUUCUCUGGUUCCAAGUCUGGAAGCUCAGGUUCUCUGACCGUCACUGGGCUCCAGGCUGAAGAUGAGGCUGAUUAUUAUUGCCAGUCUGUUGAUUUUAGUUUCAGAGUGGAUUCUCAGAAUAUGGUGACCCAGUUGCCAUCACUAACCAUUUCUCCAGGAGGAACAGUCACACUUACCUGUGCCCUUAGUUCUGGUUUAGUCUCUACGGAUCACUACCUGAGCUGGUACCAGCAGAACCCAGGACAGCCUCCUCACAUGAUUAUCUACAGCACAAUCAACUGCCCCUCAGGGGUCCCUGACCGCUUCUCUGGAUCCAUCUCUGGGAACAAAGCUACCCUCAUCAUCACAGGGGCCCAGGCUGAGGAUGAGGCUAUUAUUGUGUUCUGUGUUUUGGUGGUUAUACUUACACAGUGA
Non-coding RNA from Enhydra lutris kenyoni (northern sea otter), 657 nucleotides. NCBI's taxonomy places the organism in Eukaryota, Metazoa, Chordata, Mammalia, Carnivora, Mustelidae. The record is from the annotation of a RefSeq genome assembly.